RNAcentral lists this transfer RNA (72 nucleotides) under Pangasius djambal. RNAcentral describes it as "tRNA-Lys". It matches the Rfam family "tRNA". Rfam says of the family: Transfer RNA (tRNA) molecules are approximately 80 nucleotides in length. Their secondary structure includes four short double-helical elements and three loops (D, anti-codon, and T loops). Lineage: Eukaryota; Metazoa; Chordata; Actinopteri; Siluriformes; Pangasiidae. The record is from RNAcentral.
UCCCUGGAGGACUAGUGGUUAGGUCACAGCACUCUUACUGCUGCAGCCCGGGUUCGAUUCCCGGCCAGGGAA